RNAcentral lists this ribosomal RNA (404 nucleotides) under Fusobacteriota bacterium. RNAcentral describes it as "Fusobacteria bacterium partial 16S ribosomal RNA". It matches the Rfam family "Bacterial small subunit ribosomal RNA", at positions 355 to 776 of the family's 1533-position model. The record is from RNAcentral. Lineage: Bacteria; Fusobacteriati; Fusobacteriota.
UGGGGAAUAUUGCACAAUGGAGGGAACUCUGAUGCAGCGACGCCGCGUGAGUGAUGAAGGAAUUCGUUUCGUAAAACUCUGUUCUAUGGGAAGAAAAGGACUGUACCAUAGGAGAAAGCUCCGGCUAAAUACGUGCCAGCAGCCGCGGUAAUACGUAUGGAGCGAGCGUUGUCCGGAAUUAUUGGGCGUAAAGGGUGCGCAGGCGGCUUUACAAGUUGGAUGUGAAAUAUUGUGGCUCAACCACAAACGUGCAUCCAAAACUGCAAAGCUUGAGUUAAGGAGAGGUAAGUGGAAUUCCUGGUGUAGCGGUGGAAUGCGUAGAUAUCAGGAGGAAUACCGGUGGCGAAGGCGACUUACUGGACUUAAACUGACGCUCAGGCACGAAAGCGUGGGGAGCAAGCAGG